RNAcentral lists this unclassified non-coding RNA (240 nucleotides) under soil metagenome. Its description in RNAcentral is "partial contains 5.8S ribosomal RNA, internal transcribed spacer 2, and large subunit ribosomal RNA". The record is from RNAcentral.
AACGCACGAGACCUGCGGACCUGCGGAAGGAUCAUUGCUGGAACGCGCCCCAGGCGCACCCAGAAACCCUUUGUGAACUUAUACCUUACUGUUGCCUCGGCGCAUGCCGGCCCCCAGGGGCCCCUCGGAGACGAGGAGCAGGCACGCCGGCGGCCAACCUAACUCUUGUUUUUACACUGAAACUCUGAGAAAAAAAACAAAAUGAAUCAAAACUUUUAACAAUGGAUCUCUAGAUCGGAA